RNAcentral lists this long non-coding RNA (1769 nucleotides) under Cricetulus griseus (Chinese hamster). Its description in RNAcentral is "lncRNA (ENSCGRG00015029684.1)". Lineage: Eukaryota; Metazoa; Chordata; Mammalia; Rodentia; Cricetidae. The record is from RNAcentral.
CUCGCGCUUCGGAGACCGGAAAAAGCUCCUGGGGAUCACCUGAAAGAACCUGAAGUACACUUUCUAGUAGAUGUUUUUUAUCGUUCUCCUAUCGCAGGUCCUCACUUCCGGCCACCGAGAAACUAAAACCUAAAAUAUGUAACUGAAGAUGAUACUGUUAAUUAUGCAAAUUCGAUGUGGCUCUAAGACUGAAGAUCCGCAGUGUGGUAACUUGGAUUUUUCACGUGCCAAUUAAAGCCUCUAUGGGAGAUUCGUUUUAAAAUGGUGAAAAACGUUUCCUUAUUUAAAUAAGUAGGGCCAUCAUGCCACCAAGCCUGGCCGCCUAAUUCAGUCGAAGGAGAGAACUGACUCCUGCAAGUUGACCUCUGACUUUAACAUUGGCUCUGCCACACACACCACACACGCACGCGCCUGGUUUUAAAUUAAAAACAAAUAACCUGACUUAUGUAGACAAAAUAUUUCAAAAUAUUAAGCUCUGGUAGAUAUCAGAGGCUGCCAUUGUUUUCGAAAACAGGAUUUUGAUAGUGAAAAGUUUGAAAGUCGGUGAAAGAGCAAUGUUUACUCAGAUCUUUCUUACAGCGUUGCCCAAGUAAAUUAUCAUUUCUAAGAGAACCAUCCUGUAACUCAACUGGGAAGCAAUAUUGCUGGUAUAAUUACUACACCUAAAAAACUCUUUAGUUGGGUUCUCUUUAAGUCCUGGGAGAUGAUAAAAAGCCAAAGCAGUUCUUGUUAGACCUGUUCUUACAACAUUCCCAUCAUUGCCUUGAUUCCCCUAUGUGAUUUAUGAAAGGGAAAUAGACUGAGCAAUUACCCAGUUCCACCCAGUUCUUGGCCUUCCUCUUCUUUCCAUUUCACAUCUUGUCCCACCGGUCUCAGAACAGACACAGAGGUUGAUGUGGGGUUCAUCGUUUCUCAACUCUCUCAGGCUUAAGAUCUGAGAACCAAAGGAAAUCAAGUAUGUAAAUCAAAAAUGCAAUUUCUUUGUAAAGUAGGAUGUGUGAAUAGCCGAAAUGACCUCAAACAGUAAGUUCAGUGUGGACAGGGAGUUCCCCAACACUGAAAAUUAGAGAAAUGCCUCGCUGGUAAUAAAAGAUCAAGAAAUAAAUUCUCAAGUGUGUAGGGAGUAACCCUAGCCCCGCCCAAUAGUCCUGGGGCAGGUACCAGGUGGACCUGGGGACUCGCCCAUAAGGGCGGGGUGAAGGAAAGCCGGCAUGACGUAAGGGGGGCUUCUUAAAAGGCUGCACGUGGGGACCGGGCGCUCUCUUUGUUCUGGCUGCGCUGGCUGGGUUCUUAACCUAGCUCUGGCCUAUGUUUCACCCGGCUGUGCUUGGAAUAAAGAGACUUUAAUCCAAUAUCUGGCGCCCAACGAUAAACGAACCUGAAGAGCCAACGAGCAUCCGGAAAAUCCAAUGACCCCCUCGACAAGGAUGACUGACAGGUGUUUUCUGAGGAACUGCCCUCUAUAAGUCAAAGGACAUUACAUGUAUGGAUACUCAAGGAAAGAACGUAGCUAUAACCAUCGAACAAAAGGAACGUGAUAUACGCCAUCAAGACCCAUCCUGACAGCAAUCCCUACAUGCUCCGGAAAAGGAAUUGGACUACACCUUCCUGACUACACUGGAUUCAACUCACUCCGUUUCGACUGACACUCCAACCAGAACCUCGAGUGACGACUUCAAUCAAGUUGAGGAUUUCAACGUAGAUCUUCAAUCAAACAAAUCAUCUAACAUGGACUAGAUAUAACUCACUAGAGACUUUCCCUGUACUGG